This 7547-nucleotide long non-coding RNA is filed under the name Brassica rapa (field mustard). Its description in RNAcentral is "long non-coding RNA (BRAP_LNC006910)". The record is from RNAcentral. Lineage: Eukaryota; Viridiplantae; Streptophyta; Magnoliopsida; Brassicales; Brassicaceae.
UUUUUACUGUGAAAGUUUACAAUGUCGACAUCGAAAUUUGCUAUAUUUUGUAUUGUUCUCAUUUGUCUUGCUAGUCUUCAUGAAUGUAUGUCAUAUAUAGCAUAUGUUCCAUCCAAUCCUCUAGCAUCAUUACCAUUAAAUUAAUAUUAAUAUACUCCAUCAUCUUUUAAUUUUGUUUUAUUCUUUAAACUUUCUGCAGGUGCCAACCCGGAAAAAAAGCCCAAAGGAACAUGCUCUAAAACACCAAAGAAUGUUUGGUGUUGCAGUUCCACUACACACUGCCGAAGCACCAAAGCGGAUUGUGAGAAGAUGUGUAUCUGGUAGUAUCUGGGGCCGUUGAAUUUUACCAAAAAGAAUUUCAAUAAUUAUAUAUUCCAAUUAUUUUCAUAAAUCUAUCAUUCAAAAUUUAAAGAAUAAAUAGAAAUUCCUAUUCCACAGGAGCAGCUAGUAUUAUGUACUAAAUGUUUUGGAAUUUCUUUGAAAGAUCAAUAUAUAUAGUUGUAACUUUCUUCAAUUUUAUUUAAGAAGUUUACAAAUUUUAUAGAAAAUGAGAAUAAAACCACUGUACCUGUUUAACUGAAAUUUAAAUGUUGUAAGUACUUUGUAACUUAAAUAAAAUAAAAAUACAUAACUUCAAAAUAUAUUAUAAAUUAUAUAAAUUUAUUAAUUACCACAAAAAUUAACAAUUUUCACCAUUCUCGGACUUGACCGAUUCAAAAUAUAACACAAUUGUUUAAGAUAAUAAGAUAAUGUACUGUAAUCCAUAAGGGUGUGGGUCUUCUCAAACACUAAAAUUUUAUAAUAAAAAUUAAUAUAUAAUUUUUUUUAUAAAUAUAACCAAAACAUUGUUUUGUUUCCACCAUGAACUUAAUCUCUAAUUAUUCUUAACCAUUCACAACAUUUUGAUAUGGUUUUAUCACUUUACUUGUAAAACACAUUUGCAUUAUAUAAUCCAUAUCUUAUAUACAUCAAAUUAUUUAACAAGAAAAAGUUGAAAGCCAAAGUUAAGAUUAAUUAAUAUAUAAGCCAAGAAAAAAUGAUUUUUUAUUUGACAUAAAUAAUUUAUUUAAUAUAUGAAUGACAAAACUGAUUUUUUUCUAAACAAAUAAUAUAUCAUAUUUACACCAUUACUAAUUACAUAAUUUUUAUUUUACAAUAACUGAAAACACAUAACUUGGUGUUUAUGCAUCUUACAUGAAACAAUAUAUUAUUGUUAUGAACAAGGUUAUUAAUGAGAAAGGUUUUUCAUUGAAUUUAACCAUGAGGCGUCAAUAAUGCUUACGAUAUUAAUGACAUUGUGAUUAUGUUUUAUCUUGGAAAAUGGUGGUUUAUAGCACUAUUAUUAUUAUUAAAUUAUUCUCACGUAAAAUAUGUCAUUUUGAAAACAAUAAAUAAUAUAAUGGCUACCUAGGCGUUAGUUCAUAUCAGAUACAUAAUUUUUAUUAUUCUGUUUUUCUCUUAUGAUAGUCCUUACAAUAUUUUUAUUAUCAUAUUUAUUUCUUACGUAUAUCUAUGUUUGGAAAAUAAUAAUAAAAAUAUUUUUCUUUAUUUAUUUCACCAUAAAAAUACUUUUUGGUAAAUUAGAAAUGUUAAGUAAAUUAGUACCUACAAUAACAUUUCACUUCAAUCAUUAUAUGUCCGACUUUCAUAAUAUAUAUAGAUGAAUCCAUUAAGAAUCGAAGACUCUAUUUUUCCAUCUAAAAUAAAUUAGUAAAAAUAAUAUAGUAGCUACUCUUUGCUAAUUUAAUUUGGCCGCAUCUUUAAGCUUUUAAAGUUACCCAUAUAUAUAUACAUAUGGCUGUACUUUUAGGUGGUGAUAUAUCCUAUCAAAAAAUAAAAUGAAAAUUUUGAAACUUUUUAACAUAAAUAUAUUAAAAUAUAAGGAGAAUAAAAGUAACCAAUAAUUAUAUUUUCAGAUUCUUCGGAUUAUCAUGCGAAACAUUUUCAGGAACAUAUAUACAUGUUCACAUAUAAGGAUAUCGAUAAGAAAUUAGUAAAUGCUAAAAUUGGUAGCUAAUCUAUCGCUAGUUUAUUUUAUCCACAUAUUUAAUCGUUCAACGUUACAUAUAUAUAUAUAUAUAUAUAUAUAUGGUUGUCGUUAAUAGGUAUUUUUAGGUGCUGACUUAUUGUAUCAAAAAAAAUGAAUAUUUUAAAUAAAAUUUAACAUAAAUAUUUUAGCAUAUAAAGAAAAUAAAACUAACCAAUCAAAUUGAAAACAGUUUUUCUGGAUAAUUCUAAAAAUAGUCUUCAAAGACCCAUAUAUAUGUAUAUGUUCAUACGUAAGGUUUCCUUAAAUACACACACAAAGCAUUUUUUUACUGUGAAAGUUUACAAUGUCGACAUCGAAAUUUGCUAUAUUUUGUAUUGUUCUCAUUUGUCUUGCUAGUCUUCAUGAAUGUAUGUCAUAUAUAGCAUAUGUUCCAUCCAAUCCUCUAGCAUCAUUACCAUUAAAUUAAUAUUAAUAUACUCCAUCAUCUUUUAAUUUUGUUUUAUUCUUUAAACUUUCUGCAGGUGCCAACCCCGAAAAAAAGCCCAAAGGAACAUGCUCUAAAACACCAAAGAAUGUUUGGUGUUGCAGUUCCACUACACACUGCCGAAGCACCAAAGCGGAUUGUGAGAAGAUGUGUAUCUGGUAGUAUCUGGGGCCGUUGAAUUUUACCAAAGAGAAUUUCAAUAAUUAUAUAUUCCCAUUAUUUUCAUAAUUCUAUUAUUCAAAAUUUAAAGAAUAAAUAGAAAUUCCUAUUCCACAGGAGCAGCUAGUAUUAUGUACUAAAUGUUUUGGAAUUUCUUUGUAAGAUCAAUAUAUAUAGUUGUAACUUUCUUCAAUUUUAUUUAAGAAGUUUAUAAAUUUUAUAGAAAAUGAGAAUAAAACCACUGUACCUGUUUAACUGAAAUUUAAAUGUUGUAAGUACUUUGUAAAUUAAAUAAAAUAAAAAUACAUCACUUCAAAAUAUAUUAUAAAUUAUAUAAAUUAAUUAAUUAACACAAAAAUUAACAAUUUUCACCAUUCUCGGACUUGGCCGAUUCAAAAUAUAACACAAUUGUUUAAGAUAAUAAGAUAAUGUACUGUAAUCCAUAAGGGUGUAGGUCUUCUCAAACACUAAAAUUUUAUAAUAAAAAUUAAUAUAUAAUUUUUUUAUAAAUAUAACCAAAACAUUGUUUUGUUUCCACCAUGAACUUAAUCGCUAAUUAUGCUUAACCAUUCACAACAUUUUGAUAUGGUUUUAUCACUUUACUUGUAAAACACAUUUGCAUUAUAUAAUCCAUAUCUUAUAUACAUCAAAUUAUUUAACAAGAAAAAGUUGAAAGCCAAAGGUAAGAUUAAUUAAUAUAUAAGCCAAGAAAAAAUGAUUUUUUAUUUGACAUAAAUAAUUUAUUUAAUAUAUGAAAGACAAAACUGAUUUUUAUUCUAAACAAAUAAUAUAUCAUAUUUACACCAUUACUAAUAACAUAAUUUUCAGUUAUUUAUACAAUAACUGAAAACACAUAAUUUUUAGUUCAUGUAAUAUGCAUCUUACAUGAAACAAUAUAUUGUUGUUAUGAACAAGGUUAUUAAUGAGAAAGGUUUUUCAUUGAAUUUAACCAUGAGGCUUCAAUAAUGCUUACGAUAUUACUGACAUUGUGAUCAUGUUUUAUCUUGGAAAAUGGUGGUUUAUAGCACUAUUAUUAUUAUUAAAUUAUUCUCACGUAAAAUAUGUCAUUUUGAAAACUAAUAAAUAAUAUAAUGGCUACAUAGGCGUUAGUUCAUAUUAGAAACAUAACUUUAAUUAUUAUUUUUUUCUCUUAUGAUAGUCCUUACAAUAUUUUAAUUAUCAUAUAUAAUUCUUACGUAUAUCUAUGUUUGGAAAAUAAUAAUAAAAAUAUUUUUCUUUAUUUAUUUCACCAUAAAAAUACUUUUUGGUAAAUUAGAACUUUUAAGUAAAUUAGUACCUACAAUAACUUUUAACUUCAAUCAGUAUAUGCCCGACUUUCAUAAUAUAUAUAGAUAAAUCCAUUAAGAAUCGAAGACUCUAUUUUUCCAUCUAAAAUAAAUUAGUAAAAAAAAAAUAUAGUAGCUACUCUUUGCUAAUUUAAUUUGGCCGCAUCUUUAAGCUUUUAAAGUUACCCAUAUAUAUUUACAUAUGGCUGUACUUUUAGGUGGUGAUAUAUCCUAUCAAAAAAAUAAAAUGAAAAUUUUGGAACUUUUUAACAUAAAUAUAUUAAAAUAUAAGGAGAAUAAAAGUAACCAAUAAUUAUAUUUUCAGAUUCUUCGGAUUAUCAUACGAAACAUUUUCAGGGACAUAUAUACAUCUUCACAUAUAAGGAUAUCGAUAAGAAAUUAGUAAAUGCUAAAAUUGGUAGCUAAUCUAUCGCUAGUUUAUUUUAUCCACAUAUUUAAUCGUUCAACGUUACAUAUAUAUAUAUAUGGUUGUCGUUAAUAGGUAUUUUUAAGUGCUGACUUAUUGUAUCAAAAACGAAAAUGAAUAUUUUAAAUAAAAUUUAACAAAAAUAUUUUAGGAUAUAAAGAAAAUAAAACUAACCAAUCAAUUGAAAACAGUUUUUCUGGAUAAUUCUAAAAAUAGUCCUCAAAGACCUAUAUAUAUGUAUAUGUUCAUACGUAAGGUUUCCUAAAAUACACACAAAAAGCAAUUUUUUACUGUGAAAGUUUACAAUGUCGGCAUCGAAAUUUGCUAUAUUUUGUAUUGUUCUCAUUUGUCUUGCUAGUCUUCAUGAAUGUAUGUCAUAUAUAGCAUAUGUUCCAUCCAAUCCUCUAGCAUCAUUACCAUUAAAUUAAUAUUAAUAUACUCCAUCAUCUUUUAAUUUUGUUUUAUUCUUUAAACUUUCUGCAGGUGUCAACCCGGAAAGAAAGCCCAAAGGAACAUGCUCUAAAACACCAAAUAAUGUUUGGUGUUGCAGUUCCACUACACACUGCCGAAGCACCAAAGCAGAUUGUGAGAAGAUGUGUAUCUGGUAGUAUAUGGGGCCGUUGAGUUUUACCAAAGAGAAUUUCAAUAAUUAUAUAUUUCAAUUAUUUUCAUAAUUCUAUUAUUCAAAAUUUAAAGAAUAAAUAGAAAUUCCUAUUCCACAGGAGCAGCUAGUAUUAUGUACUAAAUGUUUUGGAAUUUCUUUGAAAGAUCAAUAUAUAUAGUUGUAACUUUCUUCAAUUUUAUUUAAGAAGUUUAUAAAUUUUAUAGAAAAUGAGAAUAAAACCACUGUACCUGUUUAACUGAAAUUUAAAUGUUGUAAGUACUUUGUAAAUUAAAUUAAAUAAAAAUACAUCACUUCAAAAUAUAUUAUAAAUUAUAUAAAUUAAUUAAUUAACACAUAAAUUAACAAUUUUCACCAUUCUCGGAUUUGACCGAUUCAAAAUAUAACACAAUUGUUUAAGAUAAUAAGAUAACGUUCUGUAAUCCAUAAGGGUGUGGGUCUUCUCAAACACUAAAAUUUUAUAAUAAAAGUUAAUAUAUAAAUUUUUUAUAAAUAUAACCAAAACAUUGUUUUGUUUCCACCAUGAACUUAAUCGCUAAUUAUUCUUAACCAUUCACAACAUUUUGAUAUGGUUUUAUCACUUUACUUGUAAAACACAUAUGCACUAUAUAAUCCAUAACUUAUAUACAUCAAAUUAUUUAACAAAAAAAAGUUGAAACCCAAAGUUAAGAUUAAUUAAUACAUAAGCCAAGAAAAAUUAUUUUUUAUUUGACAUAAAUAAUUUAUUUAAUAUUUGAAUGACAAAACUGAUUUUUUUCUAAACAAAUAAUAUAUCAUAUUUACACCAUUACUAAUUACAUAAUUUUUUAUUUUACAAUAACUGAAAACACAUAACUUGGUGUUUAUGUAUCUUAGAUGAAACAAUAUAUUAUUGUUAUGAACAAAGUUAUUAAUGAGAAAGGUUUUUCAUUGAAUUUAACCAUGAGGCUUCAAUAAUGCUUACGAUAUUACUGACAUUGCGAUCAUGUUUUAUCUUGGAAAACGGUGGUUUAUAGCACUAUUAUUAUUAUUAAAUUAUUCUCACGUAAAAUAUGUCAUUUUGAAAACAAUAAAUAAUAUAAUGGCUACCUAGGCGUUAGUUCAUAUUAGAUACAUAAUUUUUUUUUCUCUUAUGAUAGUCCUUACAAUAUUUUGAUUAUCAUAUAUAUUUCCUACGUAUAUCUAUGUUUGGAAAAUAAUAAUAAAAAUAUUUUUCUUUAUUUAUUUCACCAUAAAAAUACUUUUUGGUAAAUUAGAACUGUUAAGUAAAUUAGUACCUACAAUAACAUUUCACUUCAAUCAUUAUAUGUCCGACUUUCAUAAUAUAUAUAGAUGAAUCCAUUAAGAAUCGAAGACUCUAUUUUUCCAUCUAAAAUAAAUUAGAAAAAAAAAAUAUAGUAGCUACUCUUUGCUAAUUUAAUUUGGCUGCAUCUUUAGCUUUUAAAGUUACCCAUAUAUAUAUACAUAUGGCUGUACUUUUAGGUGGUGAUAUAUCCUAUCAAAAAAUAAAAUGAAAAUUUUGGAACUUUUUAACAUAAAUUUAUUAAAGUAAAAGGAUAAUAAAAGUAACCAAUAACUAUAUUUUCAGAUUCUUCGGAUUAUCAUGCGAAACAUUUUCAGGUACAUAUAUACAUGUUCACAUAUAAGGAUAUCGAUAAGAAAUUAGUAAAUGCUAAAAUUGGUAGCUAAUCUAUUGGUAGUUUAUUUUAUCCACAUAUUUAAUCGUUCAACGUUACAUAUAUAUAUAUGGUUGUCGUUAAUAGGUAUUUUUAGGUGCUGACUUAUUGUAUCAAAAACGAAAAUGAAUAUUUUAAAUAAAAUUUAACAAAAAUAUUUUAGGAUAUAAAGAAAAUAAAACUAACCAAUCAAUUGAAAACAGUUUUUCUGGAUAAUUCUAAAAAUAGUCAUCAAAGACCUAUAUAUAUGUAUAUGUUCAUACGUAAGGUUUCCUAAAAUACACACACAAAGCAUUUUUUUACUGUGAAAGUUUACAAUGUCGGCAUCGAAAUUUGCUAUAUUUUGUAUUGUUCUCAUUUGUCUUGCUAGUCUUCAUGAAUGUAUGUCUAUAUAGCAUAUGUUCCAUCCAAUCCUCUAGCAUCAUUACCAUUAAAUUAAUAUUAAUAUACUCCAUCAUCUUUUAAUUUUGUUUUAUUCUUUAAACUUUCUGCAGGUGCCAACCCGGAAAAAAAGCCCAAAGGAACAUGCUCUAAAACACCAAAGAAUGUUUGGUGUUGCAGUUCCACUACACACUGCCGAAGCACCAAGGCAGAUUGUGAGAAGAUAUGUAUCUGGUAGUAUCUGGGGCCGUUGAAUUUUAUCAAAGAGAAUUUCAAUAAUUAUAUAUUCCACUUAUUUUCAUAAUUCUAUUAUUCAAAAUUUAAAUAAUAAAUAGAAAUUCCUAUUCCACAGGAGCAGCUAGUAUUAUGUACUAAAUGUUUUGGAAUUUCUUUGAAAGAUCAAUAUAUAUAUAUAGUUGUCUUUCUAACUUUCUUCAAUUGUAUUUGAGAAGUUUAUAAAUUUUAUAGAAAAUGAGAAUAAAACCAUUGUACCUGUUUAACUGAAAUUUAAAUGUUGUAUGUACUUUGUAAAUUAAAUAAAAU